Carassius carassius (crucian carp) is the source of this 442-nucleotide long non-coding RNA. RefSeq lists it as uncharacterized. Lineage: Eukaryota; Metazoa; Chordata; Actinopteri; Cypriniformes; Cyprinidae. The transcript is spliced from 3 exons. The record is from RefSeq and is a predicted model, not a curated record.
CGAUUAAUGGUGUACUGGCUUAUUAUAGAAAUUUUGUAAAUGUUAAACACAGAAAAGUUAUGGACUGCAGCUUUAAAUCUUACUGUGACGUUUCUGCACAGGGAACAUUUUUUUGCUAGGUGACAGUGCAAAUAACUUAUAAUUUUAUGACAGUACAAAUAAAUUUACAGUGCAGUGAGCCAAUGUAUUCUCUGUUAUUGUUAUACACUGAGUUUGAGAGUUUUUGUCUACUCCCAGGUAAUGACACCAUCCCCUGCUAUAUCCCAGAACUCAUUCCAACUAUCCAGCUCUGCUACAGCACUGGAUGAAACCUCCUUAGAUGUAGAGACUGCAGAAUCUGUGAAUUUGGAUGAAUGGCGAGCAUUACGUUCCCAGCAAGACGAAGAAUAUAAUGCUUCCUUGAUGGCAGACCAAGAAAAGGCCAUUGAGGAAAGACGUCAGC